CCGAGAUAGCUCAGUCGGUAGAGCAGAGGACUGAAAAUCCUCGUGUCAC
This 49-nucleotide transfer RNA is filed under the name Cranfillia fullagari. RNAcentral's name for it is "partial tRNA-Phe". The record is from RNAcentral. Lineage: Eukaryota; Viridiplantae; Streptophyta; Polypodiopsida; Polypodiales; Blechnaceae.